CAAAAAUAUCCCCAAAAUAUCCCAAAAUAUUUGGAAUUUAUCUCAGAAAUAUUCUGAAUUUAGCCCAAAAUUAUCCCCAAAAAAUCCUCAAAAAAUCCACCAAAAAAUCUCCAAAAUCUCCCAAAAUAUCCCCAAAAAAUUCCCCAAAAAAAUCCCCAAAAAUUUCCCAAAAAUCUUCCCAAAAACCCCCAAAAAUCCCCAAAAAAUUCCCAAAAAAAUUCCAUAAAAUCCGCCCCCCCCCAAAAAAAAAAAUCUCCCAAAAUAUCCCAAAAAAAUUCCCCAAAAACAUCCCCAAAAACUUCCCAAAAAUCUUCCAAAAAUCCCCCAAAAAUCCCCAAAAAACCCCCUAAAAUUUCCCCAAAAUUCCCCAGAAAAAUCCCCCCCUAAAAAAUAAAAAAAAUCCCCAAAAAAUUCCCCA
RNAcentral lists this long non-coding RNA (418 nucleotides) under Lonchura striata (white-rumped munia). RNAcentral describes it as "domestica (Bengalese finch) lncRNA (ENSLSDG00000012935.1)". Lineage: Eukaryota; Metazoa; Chordata; Aves; Passeriformes; Estrildidae. The record is from RNAcentral.